Molecule: non-coding RNA, 73 nt
Organism: Pangasianodon gigas (Mekong giant catfish)
Lineage: Eukaryota; Metazoa; Chordata; Actinopteri; Siluriformes; Pangasiidae
Source: the annotation of a GenBank genome assembly
CUUCAAACCGGCACACUCCACAGAGACUGCCCUUUUGGCUGUCACUGAGAAGCUACAUGCCGCUAGAUCAGCC